Molecule: ribosomal RNA, 253 nt
Filed under: uncultured bacterium
Lineage: Bacteria
Description: partial 16S ribosomal RNA
Rfam family: Bacterial small subunit ribosomal RNA
Source: RNAcentral
GACAGAGGGUGCAAACGUUGUUCGGAAUUACUGGGCGUAAAGCGCGUGUAGGCGGCCAUGCAAGUCGGAUGUGAAAGCCCUCGGCUCAACCGGGGAAGUGCACUCGAAACUGCAAGGCUAGAGUCUCGGAGAGGAUCGUGGAAUUCUCGGUGUAGAGGUGAAAUUCGUAGAUAUCGAGAGGAACACCGGUGGCGAAGGCGGCGAUCUGGACGAUGACUGACGCUGAGACGCGAAAGCGUGGGGAGCGAACGGG